Molecule: long non-coding RNA, 376 nt
Organism: Gadus morhua (Atlantic cod)
Lineage: Eukaryota; Metazoa; Chordata; Actinopteri; Gadiformes; Gadidae
Exons: 2
Source: RefSeq, a predicted model, not a curated record
UUUUUUUUUUUUUGCAGUUUGGCCUAUACAAGUCCAAUCAUGUGGGAAAUUACCAAUACUCCAUUUUACUCCUUCUACGUGUUGUGUUCACAGCAGUUUGCUGUGUUUUUUUCCACCUCCUGGGUCUGCCACUCCUCCUGUCUGUCUCACUUCACACCUGGACCUAUUCUGCAAUCAUGCUCACCUGGUCUUCAUCUCCAAUCAACUCCCCUUCAUAAACCCUUGGAUUCCCUGCUGUCGGUGCCAGAUCGUACUACGCACUACUGUGUUAUCCGGAUCCCUCACUCCAGUUCGCCUGCUUCGCUCCUUCCCCGGCAACCUCAUCCAAUACCCGCCUCCUCGCCUCGUUCAAUAAACCCUUUUUCCUUCAACUCAA